AGGGGUGUAGCGCAGCUUGGUAGCCCGCUUGUUUUGGGUACAAAAUGUCACAGGUUCAAAUCCCUCAAUCCCCU
Molecule: transfer RNA, 74 nt
Filed under: Eleocharis dulcis
Lineage: Eukaryota; Viridiplantae; Streptophyta; Magnoliopsida; Poales; Cyperaceae
Description: tRNA-Pro
Source: RNAcentral